RNAcentral lists this unclassified non-coding RNA (263 nucleotides) under plant metagenome. Its description in RNAcentral is "partial contains small subunit ribosomal RNA, internal transcribed spacer 1, and 5.8S ribosomal RNA". The record is from RNAcentral.
UUUCCGUAGGUGAACCAGCGGAAGGAUCAUUAUUGUAUAAUCGAGGUGCGAGGGCUGUCGCUGACCCGAAAGGUCGUGCACGCCCGAGUGCCCUCACACACAUCCAUCUCACCCCUAUGUGCACCACCGCGUGGGUCCCCCUUUGGCUUGUUCGGAGGGGGGCUUACGUUUUCACACAAACUUUGUAUGCAGUGUAGAAUGUAUUUUUUGUUUUUGCGAUCACGCAAUCAAUACAACUUUCAACAACGGAUCUCUUGGCUCUC